CAGCAGCCGCGGUAAUACCGAGGGUGCAAGCGUUAAUCGGAAUUACUGGGCGUAAAGCGCGCGUAGGUGGUUUGUUAAGUUGGAUGUGAAAUCCCCGGGCUCAACCUGGGAACUGCAUUCAAAACUGACUGACUAGAGUAUGGUAGAGGGUGGUGGAAUUUCCUGUGUAGCGGUGAAAUGCGUAGAUAUAGGAAGGAACACCAGUGGCGAAGGCGACCACCUGGACUAAUACUGACACUGAGGUGCGAAAGCGUGGGGAGCAAACAGGAUUAGAUACCCGUGUAGUCCCUGUCUCUUAUAC
This 301-nucleotide ribosomal RNA is filed under the name uncultured bacterium. RNAcentral's name for it is "partial 16S ribosomal RNA". It matches the Rfam family "Bacterial small subunit ribosomal RNA", at positions 509 to 807 of the family's 1533-position model. The record is from RNAcentral.